This 638-nucleotide ribosomal RNA is filed under the name uncultured bacterium. Its description in RNAcentral is "bacterial SSU rRNA". It matches the Rfam family "Bacterial small subunit ribosomal RNA", at positions 100 to 734 of the family's 1533-position model. The record is from RNAcentral.
GCACGGGUGAGUAAUACAUCGGAACGUGUCUUCUAGUGGGGGAUAACUGCCCGAAAGGGCAGCUAAUACCGCAUGAGACCUGAGGGUGAAAGCGGGGGAUCGCAAGACCUCGCGCUGGAAGAGCGGCCGAUGUCCGAUUAGCUAGUUGGUGAGGUAAAGGCUCACCAAGGCGACGAUCGGUAGCUGGUCUGAGAGGACGACCAGCCACACUGGGACUGAGACACGGCCCAGACUCCUACGGGAGGCAGCAGUGGGGAAUUUUGGACAAUGGGGGCAACCCUGAUCCAGCCAUGCCGCGUGCAGGAUGAAGGUCUUCGGAUUGUAAACUGCUUUUGUCAGGGACGAAAAGGGAUGCGAUAACACCGCAUUCCGCUGACGGUACCUGAAGAAUAAGCACCGGCUAACUACGUGCCAGCAGCCGCGGUAAUACGUAGGGUGCAAGCGUUAAUCGGAAUUACUGGGCGUAAAGCGUGCGCAGGCGGUUCUGUAAGAUAGAUGUGAAAUCCCCGGGCUCAACCUGGGAAUUGCAUAUAUGACUGCAGGACUUGAGUUUGUCAGAGGAGGGUGGAAUUCCACGUGUAGCAGUGAAAUGCGUAGAUAUGUGGAAGAACACCGAUGGCGAAGGCAGCCCUCUGGGA